ACGCUAGCUACAGGCUUAACACAUGCAAGUCGAGGGGCAGCAUGGAAGAAGCUUGCUUCUUCUGAUGGCGACCGGCGCACGGGUGCGUAACGCGUAUCAAACCUGCCUCAUACUCGGGGAUAGCCUUGCGAAAGUAAGAUUAAUACCCGAUGUUGUUAUGUUGCCGCAUGGUGAUAUAACCAAAGAUUUAUCGGUAUGAGAUGGCGAUGCGUCCGAUUAGGUAGUAGGCGGGGUAACGGCCCACCUAGCCUUCGAUCGGUAGGGGUUCUGAGAGGAAGGUCCCCCACACUGGAACUGAGACACGGUCCAGACUCCUACGGGAGGCAGCAGUGAGGAAUAUUGGUCAAUGGACGGAAGUCUGAACCAGCCAAGUAGCGUGCAGGAUGACGGCCCCCCGGGUUGUAAACUGCUUUUAGUUGGGAAUAAAAAAGAGGACGUGUCCUCUAUUGUAUGUACCUUCAGAAAAAGGACCGGCUAAUUCCGUGCCAGCAGCCGCGGUAAUACGGAAGGUCCAGGCGUUAUCCGGAUUUAUUGGGUUUAAAGGGAGCGUAGGCGGAUUAUUAAGUCAGUGGUGAAAGACGGUGGCUCAACCAUCGUUAGCCAUUGAAACUGGUAGUCUUGAGUGCAGACAGGGAUGCUGGAACUCGUGGUGUAGCGGUGAAAUGCUUAGAUAUCACGAUGAACUCCGAUCGCGAAGGCAGGUGUCCGGGCUGCAACUGACGCUGAGGCUCGAAAGUGUGGGUAUCAAACAGGAUUAGAUACCCUGGUAGUCCACACAGUAAACGAUGUAUACUCGCGGUUUGCGAUACAAUGUAAGCCGCCAAGCGAAAGCAUUAAGUAUACCACCUGGGGAGUACGCCGGCAACGGUGAAACUCAAAGGAAUUGACGGGGGCCCGCACAAGCGGAGGAACAUGUGGUUU
This 921-nucleotide ribosomal RNA is filed under the name uncultured bacterium. Its description in RNAcentral is "bacterial SSU rRNA". It matches the Rfam family "Bacterial small subunit ribosomal RNA", at positions 33 to 947 of the family's 1533-position model. The record is from RNAcentral.